AGAGUUUGAUCCUGGCUCAGAACGAACGCUGGCGGCGUGCUUAAUACAUGCAAGUCGUGCGAGAAAGUCCGGCUUCGGUUGGGCGAGUAAAGCGGCGAACGGGUGCGUAACACGUGGGUAACCUGCCUCAAAGCCCGGGAUAAGCUCCCGAAAGGGGGUCUAAUACCGGAUAACAUCCCCGAAGGGCAUCCUUUGGAGAUCAAAGUUGGCCACUAUUCAUAACCUGCCGCUUGAGGAUGAGUCCGCGUUCCAUUAGCUUGUUGGUGAGGUAAAAGCUCACCAAGGCUACGAUGGAUAGCCGGCCUGAGAGGGUGUACGGCCACACUGGGACUGAGAUACGGCCCAGACUCCUACGGGAGGCAGCAGUAGGGAAUAUUGCGCAAUGCCCGAAUGGGUGACGCAGCAACGCCGCGUGGGUGAUGAAGUUCUUCGGAAUGUAAAACCCUGUCAGAGGGGAAGAAACCUUCCGGAACGAAUAGCUCCGGAAGCUGACGGUACCCUCAGAGGAAGCUCCGGCCAACUCCGUGCCAGCAGCCGCGGUAAUACGGAGGGAGCGAGCGUUGUUCGGAAUCACUGGGCGUAAAGGGUGUGCAGGCGGGUAGGCAAGUCGGGCGUGAAAACUCCAGGCUUAACCUGGAGCCUGCGUUCGAAACUACUUGGCUUGAGUCCAGGAGAGGAAAGUGGAAUUCCUGGUGUAGCGGUGAAAUGCGUAGAUAUCAGGAGGAACACCGGUGGCGAAGGCGGCUUUCUAGCCCGAUACUGACGCUGAGACACGAAGGCUAGGGGAGCAAACAGGAUUAGAUACCCUGGUAGUCCUAGCGGUAAACGUUGGGCACUAGGUGUUGUCCCUUGACCGGGGCAGUGCCGCAGCUAACGCAUUAAGUGCCCCGCCUGGGGAGUACGACCGCAAGGUUGAAACUCAAAGGAAUUGACGGGGGCCCGCACAAGCGGUGGAGUAUGUGGUUUAAUUCGACGCAACGCGAAGAACCUUACCUGGGUUUGACAUGCACUGGAAAGCUCAAGAGAUUGAGUCCCCCAGCGAUGGGUCAGUGCACAGGUGCUGCAUGGCUGUCGUCAGCUCGUGCCGUGAGGUGUUGGGUUAAGUCCCGCAACGAGCGCAACCCCUAUCCUUAGUUGCCACCCCCGAGCGGAGCACUCUAGGGAGACUGCCAGUCAUAAGCUGGAGGAAGGUGGGGAUGACGUCAAGUCCUCAUGGCCCUUACACCCAGGGCUACACACGUACUACAAUGGCCGGUACAGAAGGUUGCAAUACCGCAAGGUGGAGCCAAUCCCUAAAACCGGUCUCAGUUCAGAUUGGAGUCUGCAACUCGACUCCAUGAAGUUGGAAUCGCUAGUAAUCGCUGAUCAGCAAGCAGCGGUGAAUACGUUCCCGGGCCUUGUACACACCGCCCGUCAAGCCAUGGAAGCCGGAAGUACCCGAAGUCGUUACUCUAACCCUUCGGGGAUGAGAGCGCCGAAGGUAAAGCCGGUGACUGGGGCUAAGUCGUAACAAGCUAACCAAGGGCGAA
This 1529-nucleotide ribosomal RNA is filed under the name uncultured prokaryote. RNAcentral's name for it is "partial 16S ribosomal RNA". It matches the Rfam family "Bacterial small subunit ribosomal RNA". The record is from RNAcentral.